This 253-nucleotide ribosomal RNA is filed under the name uncultured bacterium. RNAcentral's name for it is "partial 16S ribosomal RNA". It matches the Rfam family "Bacterial small subunit ribosomal RNA", at positions 524 to 776 of the family's 1533-position model. The record is from RNAcentral.
UACGAAGGGAGCUAGCGUUGUUCGGAAUCACUGGGCGUAAAGCGCACGUAGGCGGAUUUGUCAGUCAGGGGUGAAAUCCCGGGGCUCAACCUCGGAACUGCCUUUGAUACAGCAAGUCUUGAGUUCGAGAGAGGUGGGUGGAAUUCCUAGUGUAGAGGUGAAAUUCGUAGAUAUUCGCAAGAACACCAGUGGCGAAGGCGGCUCACUGGUCCGGUACUGACGCUGAGGUGCGAAAGCGUGGGGAGCAAACAGG